GAUGAACGCUGGCGGCGUGCCUAAUACAUGCAAGUCGAGCGAACGGACGAGAAGCUUGCUUCUCUGAUGUUAGCGGCGGACGGGUGAGUAACACGUGGAUAACCUACCUAUAAGACUGGGAUAACUUCGGGAAACCGGAGCUAAUACCGGAUAAUAUUUUGAACCGCAUGGUUCAAAAGUGAAAGACGGUCCUGCUGUCACUUAUAGAUGGAUCCGCGCUGCAUUAGCUAGUUGGUAAGUUAACGGCUUACCAAGGCAACGAUGCAUAGCCGACCUGAGAGGGUGAUCGGCCACACUGGAACUGAGACACGGUCCAGACUCCUACGGGAGGCAGCAGUAGGGAAUCUUCCGCAAUGGGCGAAAGCCUGACGGAGCAACGCCGCGUGAGUGAUGAAGGUCUUCGGAUCGUAAAACUCUGUUAUUAGGGAAGAACAUAUGUGUAAGUAACUGUGCACAUCUUGACGGUACCUAAUCAGAAAGCCACGGCUAACUACGUG
Molecule: ribosomal RNA, 497 nt
Filed under: uncultured bacterium
Lineage: Bacteria
Description: partial 16S ribosomal RNA
Rfam family: Bacterial small subunit ribosomal RNA
Source: RNAcentral